CCUGCCUUCUCUCUGAGCCAGCAAUUUCUAAAACCCUUACUCCCGCCCUCCCUCUUCUGAGCCAUCAAUUUUCAAGACCCUCAAUCCCACUCUCUCUUCCUUUCUCUGAACCAAGGGUUAAGAAUUUUAGAAGGGGAGGGUAAAAAUUUGUUGGAAUUUCUUGUAAUAAUUUUUCAGAAGAAGUAAUAGAAGUUGUGUUUCUGCAACAAGAGGUAAGUAGAGUGGUGAUUUUGAAGGAGCCCAAUGUUUCACUAAUCCAUGUCCCUCCCACCACUAAAUUUUCGAUGGUCCUCUCUCACAGGAGGUAUAACACGACUGUUUAAAUCUCGUCACCACUAGCACUCUCGACAGCUGUUGUCGCAUCUUUCGUCAGAUAGCGAUGGAAACUAUGGAAGUGAGUUCAGCUAAUGACAAUGAUUGUAGCUUGGACUAAGAGAUGAGAACGGAAAAAUAUCAAUGUAGUGGCUGCAAGCAGUGUGGAAUUGUUAUCGCUGAAGAUAUUAUCAAUCAUACAUUUUCAACAUUUGAGGUAGCAUAUGAUAUGUAUGUGAGAUAUGCCAAAUAUGUUGGCUUUGGAGUUUGGAAAGGUGAUUUUGUGAAAACCAAAGAUGAUUGUUACUCAAAGCAAAAAUUCUUUUGUAAUAGGGUCGGAUUGAGAGAGAAGAAAUACUAUGACAAUGUUCACAAAAAAGGAAACGAAGGGUUGAGACACCAACUAAUUGUCAAGCUAAAUUGUGUUUAUACUUUGAUAAAUGUGCAACUGUUUAGAGGGUUAAGAAUUUGUUCGAUGAACAUAACCAUGACUUAGUACCACAAUGCAUGGUUCACCUAAUUCUGAACCAUCGGCAGUUAACUAAUGCAAACAAGGCACAAGCUGACAUCAUCCAUAUGUAUGGUGUGCCAACAUCUCAAAUUAUGGGGUUUAUGGCUGGGCAAGGUGGUGGGUAUGUCAGAGCUGAUUUUACAAAGAAAGACUUAGAUAACCACCUUGAUAGGAGUCGAUGGUUACGCAUUUUAGGUGGUGAUGCCAACGCCACCAUAAGCUACCUAUUUGAAAAGGCUGACGUUGACCCGAUGGCUAUGGCACGAUAUAGUUCAACUGCGACGGAUCGGUUGGGUAGCUUAUUUUCGGCCGAAGGAAUAUGCCGAGCUGAUAAGUACAAGAAACCCUUGGUAAUCUUUUCUGGGAGUAACCAUCACAAGCAAACGUGUAUAUUCGGGUUUGCCAUACUUGAUAAUGAAAUGACAUCUACGUACAAGUGGCUACUGGCUAAUUUUUUAGAGGUUAUGAUGAACAAGCAUCCUAAAGUUGUUGUAACUGAUGCAGACGAGGCUAUGAAAGAGGCGAUGAAUGAGAUUUUUUCAAAUAUAACCCAUAAAUUGUGCGGAUGGCAUCUUCAAAAAAAUGCUACUUUGAGAAUCAAGGACCUAGACUUAUGUGAAUCAUUUAAAAAGUUCAUUUAUGCCAAGUAGAAUGUUGAUGAAUUUGAGGAGGAAUGGUCAAAAUUGGUUGAAGAGCUUGGUGGUAGUGACACGUCAUGGAUUGACAAACAAUAUGAAAACAAAGAAAGUUGGGCUAGGGCGUUUCUUUGAGAUAAAUUUUGUGCUGGUUUUAGAAAUACUUCAUAAAGAGAUUUUUUCAUUCAAGGCAGCAUUUUAGAGUUGGUGGAGAAUCUUGAGCGGGCUUUACGAGAUUAUCGCAACAAUGAGAUGGUUGCUCAAUUCAAGACAAGCAAUUCUGAUCCUGUUUUGACAACUGGAUGGCUUACAGUCUCUCAAGUUUUGUGCUGCAAACAUCUACACUAGAAAGAUAUUCAAACUAAUGAGAAAGCAAAUUGAAGAAGUGGUUUCUUUAGACAUUAUACAUAGUUAGCCCCUUUCCACAACUAUAGUAUACAAGAUUUGUGCUUUUUAAGAUAGAGUCAAAAUAUUUACAGUUGUAUAUGAUCGCAAUGAGAAGAAAUUGAAGUGUGAAUGCUGUCAUUGGGAUCACGAAGGGUAUCCUUGUAGUCAUAUGUUGUGUGUGCUGAGACGAGAGAAUAUAGAUGAAUUGCCAGAAAAUCUAAUUCUAAAAAAAUGGACCCAAGAUGCAAAGAAGUAUACUAAUAAUCAAACAGUCAAGCACUGCAAAUGAUGCUAAAAAAGGUUUGAUGUAUUGCAUCUUGUUGCUGAAUUUGUUGGUGAUCCAUGUGUCGCAAAGACUAAAGGUGCACCCAAACUCAAGAAGAGUGAAACUAGGAAAAGGUCAUGUUCAAAUUGCUUCGUGAAGGGUCAUACAAAGAGGCAUUGUCCAAAGUUGGUUGAUGAAGGUGACCGGAGCUAUGACCAUGUCCCUUUUCGAUGUACAGAUACAGAUGAGGAUAUUUAUGCAAUGAUUGCUAAAUUUUGUUUUUGGAAAAUUUUUUAUCAAUUAUUUUCAUAUUAGUAUGUUAAUCAUAUUUAUUCUCAUAGCAUGGUUAAAUAUUUUGGUUGUGUAAUUCCAUCUAUGUAUAGAUAUAAUAAGGAAGAAAAUGUGACAAUAGGUUGUAAUUAAUUGUUUUUUAUUUAUUUUGACAUGCUUGAUAGGCAGCAAAAGAGACUCUUGGUGCCACUAGGAGUGAGAAUAAUGGGCGUAAUUGUACUGCGGAGUCUAGUACUAAGCUCAUGGAUUCUCAAUCAAAUAUGGGAGAGGCGGUCAUAGGAUCGCUUUCAAGGGUCCAAUUUUAUCCAACUCUUACUAACUUGUUUCCAACACCACAGGGUACAGUAGCUGCCCAACCAACGACUCUGCAAAAUAUUAGGCAUCAAUGGCUCUUACAGGCCAUGAAAGCUAGGAAUACUUGGAACCAAUAGUGAAAAAUAACUUAAUUUACAGAACAGAUGAGCUUUUUGCUUUUGAGAUGUUACAUUGUCUUUCUGAACCUUUUCAAUAUUCUAGUGUUGUUAGUAUGUGAACUGUACAGAUAUUUUGUCCUUUUGUAAUUUAUUUUUCUUAAAUGAAUUGUACUCACGGUAUUAGUUCAAUGAAUUCUGAUGGCUGUGUUGAAGUAUUUGAUAUGGAGAUU
Non-coding RNA from Arachis ipaensis, 3044 nucleotides. NCBI's taxonomy places the organism in Eukaryota, Viridiplantae, Streptophyta, Magnoliopsida, Fabales, Fabaceae. The record is from RefSeq and is a predicted model, not a curated record.